Molecule: ribosomal RNA, 842 nt
Filed under: Muyocopron dipterocarpi
Lineage: Eukaryota; Fungi; Ascomycota; Dothideomycetes; Muyocopronales; Muyocopronaceae
Description: SSU rRNA
Rfam family: Eukaryotic small subunit ribosomal RNA
Source: RNAcentral
UGUGUUUAUUAGAUAAAAAACCAAUGCCCUUCGGGGCUGCUUGGUGAUUCAUGAUAACCAAACGAAUCGCAUGGCCUUGAGCCGGCGAUGGUUCAUUCAAAUUUCUGCCCUAUCAACUUUCGAUGGUAGGAUCUGGGCCUACCAUGGUAUCAACGGGUAACGGGGAAUUAGGGUUCGAUUCCGGAGAGGGAGCCUGAGAAACGGCUACCACAUCCAAGGAAGGCAGCAGGCGCGCAAAUUACCCAAUCCCGACGCGGGGAGGUAGUGACAAUAAAUACUGAUACAGGGCUCUUUAGGGUCUUGUAAUUGGAAUGAGUACAAUUUAAACCCCUUAACGAGGAACAAUUGGAGGGCAAGUCUGGUGCCAGCAGCCGCGGUAAUUCCAGCUCCAAUAGCGUAUAUUAAAGUUGUUGCAGUUAAAAAGCUCGUAGUUGAACCUUGGGCCAGGCCGGCCGGUCCGCCUUACCGCGUGCACUGGUUCGGCCGGGCCCUUUCCUCUGGCUAACCGCAUGCCCUUCACUGGGCGUGUCGGGGAACCAGGACUUUUACUUUGAAAAAAUUAGAGUGUUCAAAGCAGGCCUUUGCUCGGAUACAUUAGCAUGGAAUAAUGAAAUAGGACGCGCGGUUCUAUUUUGUUGGUUUCUAUAACCGCCGUAAUGAUUAAUAGGGACAGUCGGGGGCAUCAGUAUUCAGACGCGAGAGGUGAAAUUCUUAGACCGUCUGAAGACUAACUACUGCGAAAGCAUUUGCCAAGGAUGUUUUCAUUAAUCAGUGAACGAAAGUUGGGGGAUCGAAGACGAUCAGAUACCGUCGUAGUCUCAACCGUAAACUAUGCCGACUAG